CCACAGACAUCCUCUGCUGAAAGCGGGGUGCUGCUGCCUCCAAGGCUGAAGCACAAGUCAUUGACAGGGACCCAGGUGGCCCAGUAGCAGUCCUGCCAUGCAUUUACAAGCACUCUGAGGACAGACUACCCUACUUGUAGUUAGCAAUUGGGCUGAAGCGAGCGCGCCCUAGCUGCCUAUUUAUGGCAGCUGCCACUGAAAGCAAGCCCGCCCCCGCCCCUCCCCUUCCCCUGCUCCCGCCCCCGCCCCUCCCCCUCCCCUGCUCCCGCCCCCGCCCCCGCCCCCAGUAGAAGGGCUGCCCUAUGGCUGCUGCCUCCCACAACCAAAUCAUUUUUCUGGGAACCUGGGGAUCAUCUUGGCUCUGCCUAUCACAGCCAGUGCCUGCACGCCCUGCUCCGGCAUCCCCCUAGUGCCUGAGCACGCCAUCCUCCUGUACCCUACUCCAUUACGAUGUGAUUCCUUCGUGUUAAAACUGUGGGUCCAGUGUAAUCAUACGAGCCUUUAAAAGCAGAAGAGGAAGUAGGAAGAGGAAAGCAGAAUGGAUGCAGCAGAAGAGGGAGUCAGCGAGGUUCCAAGGUGUACCUUGCCCUACUAACUUUGGAUCUGGCCAAUGGAAUAUAAGGAGAUUUGACCUGUGCUGCUGUGAUUAACAGACAUCAGAGGCAUGGAAGAAAAACAACAGUAACUAGAUGAAGCAAGGACCACCCUUCUGGACAACAAAGGGAGAGGAAUGAAAGUCUGACCUAGGAAAAGACGGAGUCUCGCUGUGUUGUCCAGGAUGGAGUGCAGUGGUGCUUUCUCAGCUCACUGCAACCUCUGCCUCCCAGUUCAAGCAAUUCUUCUGACUCAGCCUCCUGAGUAGCUGGGAUUACAGGCACCUGCUACCACACCAUGCUAAUUUUUGUAUUUUUAGUAGAGACGGGGUUUCUCCAUGUUGGCCUGGCUGGUCUCGAACUCCUGACCUCAGGUGAUCCACCUGCCUCGGCCUCUCAAAAUGCUAGGAUUACAGGUGUGAGCCACCACACCUGGCCAACUUAUCCUUUUUUUAACAUCUAGUUUUCUGUGAGUGUUUUCUAAUGUGCACUGUAGACGGACAUAGUGGUAUGUGAUUACUAUUCAUAGAUAAAUAAUAAUUUGUUUAUUAUUGUGUAAUAAACAUUGUGUGAUAAAGAAUUUGGCUGACCUUUGUUUCUGGUUCUUGAGAGGUAAUCUUUCAACCCAUGGAGUUUCCCAAGUGAUUGGAGUGUCUUUGUUCUUCAAGGUGGGCCCCAUAGAGCAUAUUUGAUGGUUUAUGCUAAUGUGAUGACUCAGGAUGGAAGCCGGCCAUGUUAGGAAGACCAAAGACAUGAUGAGAUGGUUGGGACUUUGAGCCAGGUGGCAUCA
RNAcentral lists this long non-coding RNA (1383 nucleotides) under Homo sapiens (human). Its description in RNAcentral is "HSALNT0088331". Lineage: Eukaryota; Metazoa; Chordata; Mammalia; Primates; Hominidae. The record is from RNAcentral.